This 240-nucleotide unclassified non-coding RNA is filed under the name Paraglomus occultum. RNAcentral's name for it is "partial contains 5.8S ribosomal RNA and internal transcribed spacer 2". The stretch from base 1 to 65 matches the Rfam family "5.8S ribosomal RNA", at positions 84 to 154 of the family's 154-position model. Lineage: Eukaryota; Fungi; Glomeromycota; Glomeromycetes; Paraglomerales; Paraglomeraceae. The record is from RNAcentral.
GUGAAUCAUCGAAUCUUUGAACGCAAAUUGCGCCUUUUUCGGAAGGCAUGCCUGUUUGAGGGUACCAUUUAACAAAUAAUGUGCAUUUCGUGUGCACACGUUGAUGAGCUUUCCAAAGUUAUGUAUUUUUACUUUUGGUGGCUCAUAAUAAACAGCGCUAUUCUAUUCUUCAGUUCGAGUGUAGUAAAAUUUUUUCUUCCUUGACUUGUUAAAAGCGUCAUCGUGCAAUUGGCUGUGUCG